Hydra vulgaris (swiftwater hydra) is the source of this 515-nucleotide long non-coding RNA. RefSeq lists it as uncharacterized. The record is from RefSeq and is a predicted model, not a curated record. NCBI's taxonomy places the organism in Eukaryota, Metazoa, Cnidaria, Hydrozoa, Anthoathecata, Hydridae.
UGAAGACCUUAGUGCCAAAAAUACUUGCAUGCAUUAUUCAUGCACGCAUGCAUGCAUGAUGCAUUCAAGUAUAAAAAAAAAGUUACAGAUGUUUAAUUAUACAAAAAGAUUAUGGAUGUGGUACUGCAAGUAUAUUCAAUUGAUUAUGCAAUUAAACCAUCACCACUUCCACAGCCACCUUGUCUCAAGCAUUAAAUCGCAUUCUAAGAUAUCUUUAUUCAAAUUAAGUGUGACUACUUUACCAAAAGACUCUAGAAUGGACCAAUCAACUAACCCAUCAGUACUUGCAAAGUCUCCUUUUUUGUAAGCCCGAAAAUUGAGUUCUAAAAUACCAUUAUCCACAUAACUACUAUAUCAAAGUACAAUCUAAUGGAUUGAUCAAUGAAACUGUCGGUAUCUCCACAACUUUUCAAUUAAAUAGAAAGUUUCAAUUAAACAGGAUCCUGAGUGUGCCUACUGCUCCUCAAGACAAUGGAUAAUGGGAGUUAUCAAACUUUAUAUAUAUAUAUAUAUAU